GUUCAGGGGUAAACCUGAGAAACCCAAAAGAUCGAAUGAGGAGAUUCAUCGUCAGCUCAUUUUGUAUAUGUAUAAGUUAUGAUGUGNNAGUUACUCUUNNGUAGUAUUGCUNUGUACAUACUUGUGCAUUUAUUUGCAAGAUGUUGUCGGCGUGCACUUCUCCUCUAGUAGGACGUCGCGACCCGUUGGGUGUUGGUCUACGACCCGAGNUGGGAGACUUUAAUGUUNNUUANNUAAUAUUAAAGACCCUUGGUGUUNUUCUGACCGGCUGCCCGGCGGUACUCGUACGGUAUUUAGCCGCAUNUUNANNNUUUGCGUCCAUGUCCAUCGCAAGCGAGGCUAAUUUCUGGUAGUNGCGGACCUGGUGCCGUCGCUGGAGUUGGCCAGCUGUUGGUUGUNAUGGAAUUCUAGGACUGGCUAAAAANUAAUNNUACCGGUCGGCGAUGCUACUGCUUUGGGUACUUUCAGGACCCGUCUUGAAACACGGACCAAGGAGUCUAACAUGUGCGCGAGUCA
RNAcentral lists this ribosomal RNA (516 nucleotides) under Heterospilus sp. MAS-2010. RNAcentral's name for it is "partial 28S ribosomal RNA". The record is from RNAcentral. Lineage: Eukaryota; Metazoa; Arthropoda; Insecta; Hymenoptera; Braconidae.